RNAcentral lists this ribosomal RNA (250 nucleotides) under uncultured bacterium. Its description in RNAcentral is "partial 16S ribosomal RNA". It matches the Rfam family "Bacterial small subunit ribosomal RNA", at positions 524 to 773 of the family's 1533-position model. The record is from RNAcentral.
GACAGAGAUGGCAAGCGUUGCUCGGAGUUACUGGGCAUAAAGGGCGCGUAGGCGGCCGUGCGCGUCGGAGGUGAAAUCCCCGGGCUCAACCCGGGAACUGCCUUCGAUACGGCGCGGCUAGAGUGUGGGAGGGGAGAGUGGAACUCCUGGUGGAGCGGUGAAAUGCGUAGAUAUCAGGAGGAACGCCGGUGGCGAAAGCGACUCUCUGGUCCACCACUGACGCUGAGGCGCGAAAGCCAGGGGAGCAAAC